UACGUAGGGAGCGAGCGUUGUCCGGAAUUACUGGGUGUAAAGGGAGCGUAGGUGGAUUGUUAAGUCAGUUGUGAAAGUUUGCGGCUCAACCGUAAAAUUGCAGUUGAAACUGGCAGUCUUGAGUACAGUAGAGGUGGGCGGAAUUCGUGGUGUAGCGGUGAAAUGCAUAGAUAUCACGCAGAACUCCGAUUGCGAAGGCAGCAUACCGGCGCGCAACUGACGCUCAUGCACGAAAGCGUGGGUAUCGAACAGG
This 253-nucleotide ribosomal RNA is filed under the name uncultured Bacteroides sp. Its description in RNAcentral is "partial 16S ribosomal RNA". It matches the Rfam family "Bacterial small subunit ribosomal RNA", at positions 524 to 776 of the family's 1533-position model. Lineage: Bacteria; Pseudomonadati; Bacteroidota; Bacteroidia; Bacteroidales; Bacteroidaceae. The record is from RNAcentral.